This 68-nucleotide transfer RNA is filed under the name Chloracris brunneri. RNAcentral describes it as "tRNA-Ser". It matches the Rfam family "tRNA". Rfam says of the family: Transfer RNA (tRNA) molecules are approximately 80 nucleotides in length. Lineage: Eukaryota; Metazoa; Arthropoda; Insecta; Orthoptera; Tettigoniidae. The record is from RNAcentral.
AGCUAAUAAACUUUAAUAAGUCUAUGUUUUGAAAACAUAAAAUAGAAGUUAAAAUCUUCUAUUAGCUU